GUCCCUCGUGUUUUCAUAUUUCUUCGCUUGUUUAUUAUAACCAGACAAUAUUCGUUUUUCGGAAGAUCUUCGAGGAAUCGACUGUCGUACGAUUUCUUGACGUUUGAAUGAAUAAUAUAGGAAAUGAUUAUUUUAAACGAUCAGGUGCUACAAGAUAAUUUUAGCAAGUUUAGAAAAAAAAUCCAUCGAAGGCCGUUUGGACAGUGUGAAAGGUUAUACGGUGUCGUUCCAACGAUAUACCAUCGGGGGAAUUAAUUCAUGUAGAAAUGCAAGAUCCCAGAAGAAUCGAAGGGAACUUGCACAGAAGUGAUCCUUCAAAAUCAUCCAGGAAGUCAUCGACGGGUCUGGUCAUCCGGUGUGCCGAUAAUUGGCGGUCAUCCUAAGGUAGAUAAGUGGAUCUCGUUUUACCUGGAAUCUAUUGGAAUGGUGUUCAACUUCUGGAGUUUACCGAGAGGACGUCGCAGUCGUUUAACAAUUAUUUGCACAAGAGCGAAACAGAGGAAAUGAGCAGCGAGGAGGCAACGAUACGCAAGAUUAUACUACUGAACGCGCCCAAAGUGUAUCAAAACUGCAGAAAACAAAUGGAAGCUAAAUCUUCUUUCGCCAUAAAUUCUGUAUCAAUCGAAGGGUAAAAAACAAACAAGAAGGGGAUGAAGAAGAAAAAGGAAAUUCUCGUCUAAACACGACAUGUGGGAACAGCUUUUUAUUUGUCGGAUCAAUUUAAACGAGACGAAGGCACCGAUUCGAUAGAUUUUCACCGGUUAAAUCCCUGUCGUGACGGUAUUGAGAGUGGCUGCUGGGAUUCAGGGAUGGAUUUCAAUGGACCGGCAAGACCUCGCGUUCCCCCGGGGGGUGACAUUUCGCGGAUCCGUCUUAACGAAGCUUGCUGCUGCUUUACUAUGCACGUGUAGUUAGGCAUAAAUCCAUCCACCGAGAAUCAUUAGGCGGUGAAAUAAAAAGGAUUGCCGGCUUUUCAAGGACGCGUGGGAGAUGCUGGAUACGCUAGAUUGAUUCGACACCCCUAGAGAGACAUUAAAAGGGAGUGCUUCGAAUGUAAUUCGUGAGAGGGUAAAUUGUAUUCGUAAACGAAAGCUAUUAAUCCUUUCUACUAAAUACAAAGUGUCCUAAAAUGAAGAAAAUAUUUUCUAAAAAUUACCAAUUAACGAAAGUGAAAUCAAAUAAUUAAAAAUAAUAUUAAUCCAACUUUGAUAUAAUAAAACACAUCAAAGUUACUGAAAUUUUAAAAAUAAAUAUUUCAUGAAAAUUGUUCACUUUAAAUUCUAAAGCUAGGCUCGCGUGAAAGAGAAAAUCUUCCCUUUUAAAAUACCUGUCACCGCAUGUUGAUAGCAGUUUUCGUUUUCGAGAUAUCAUCGUUUAAAGAGAGACAUGUGCAACUCUCACUCCCACGCGUAUUGACCUGGGCCACCCUACGCACACGUGAGGCAGGUCAUUGACAGGCACUGAAUGACUCAUCGUUUUUUACUACUGCUGUUACUAGACGUACGCACUUCCAGGGGAAAAUGUGGGUCACGAUAUUUCCAGGAAUUUCGUCGACCGUUCAUUACUCCUUCGUAGUAUAUUCCACUGUAUCUCUGUAAUGAAUUGCAAUACGAACUUUGAA
Osmia lignaria (orchard mason bee) is the source of this 1621-nucleotide long non-coding RNA. RefSeq lists it as uncharacterized. The record is from RefSeq and is a predicted model, not a curated record. NCBI's taxonomy places the organism in Eukaryota, Metazoa, Arthropoda, Insecta, Hymenoptera, Megachilidae.